UACGAAGGGGGCUAGCGUUGCUCGGAAUCACUGGGCGUAAAGCGCACGUAGGCGGAUUGUUAAGUCAGGGGUGAAAUCCUGGAGCUCAACUCCAGAACUGCCUUUGAUACUGGCGAUCUCGAGUCCGGGAGAGGUGAGUGGAACUGCGAGUGUAGAGGUGAAAUUCGUAGAUAUUCGCAAGAACACCAGUGGCGAAGGCGGCUCACUGGCCCGGUACUGACACUGAGGUGCGAAAGCGUGGGGAGCAAACGGG
This 253-nucleotide ribosomal RNA is filed under the name uncultured bacterium. RNAcentral describes it as "partial 16S ribosomal RNA". It matches the Rfam family "Bacterial small subunit ribosomal RNA", at positions 524 to 776 of the family's 1533-position model. The record is from RNAcentral.